AUGUCAGAUGCUGUCUCGUGGCCAAACAACCUUGCUUGGAGGUGUGCUGAAAUGCAUGUUUUUUAUUAGUAUCAUUAGUAUAUUUACUGAAAAGGUUUCUUUCUGAAUUAUGUAUUAAGGGUUUUUUUUUUUUUUUUUUUUUUUCCCGUCUUAAGCCUCUACUGGACCAGCACAAAGGGUGGUGGAAGAACCUCAUGAUGCUGAAACAGCAAAGAAGGCCAUGGAGCAGAGUCAGCCUGACCCCCAGCCUCAUCCCAUGCCCCUGCCCCGGCCCCAGCCUACUGCACCUGUGGAAGCAAGAGCUGCAACACAAUUUUCAAUGGUAAGAAUUACUAUUUAACUUUUUUAAUAAUACCACUUAAGAAUGUGCUCAAUUAAAAUUCAAGAAAGUUCAGAACGUAAGAUGAAGAAAAAAAGAAAAAGCAAGAAUGCUAUGAGAUGCUGGCUGAGACCUACUAAUUGUCACCCCUCUUGUACAGUGGGGGCACCUGUUGUCUGCUGAAUGGUCAGUUUGAAUAUCUCAGAUUUGGUUUAAGUCACAUGGUCAAGGAUAAAUGUAGAAUGUAACCUGUUUGCUUUCUCUCUUGAGACUAGACUCAUGUCCCUCAUGGCAUCCCUCUCAAUACUUCUCAUGUGUUAAAGCUACAUUAUCUUUCUUUCUCAAUCUCAGAUUUACUGGCUCUCACAUUGCUGCAGCAAAGCCAAAUCUUAGUGUGGUCAGGAGACCUUCUCAGGUUGAAGACCAACCCAGCGCAGCAGUGUCUUGUGCCUCUAUACCAAGCAGUACUGUCUCUGGUGUGCCAGUGUUCCAGGGUCUACAAAUGGUUCAAAGACUGUCAGCGGUCCAUAGGAUGCCACUGUUACAGCCUAUUUUGCAGAGCACCAAUUCACAACCAGCUCCACAAACCAUGCCCAAGAGACCCUACAAGGCAAACACUUGCAGGAAGUGUGGAAAAUUCAAAAUCAGUGCAACGGGACAUAGCCAGUACAGGGGCAAGGUGUAUAUACUGUCCACAGACUGAGAACAUUACAAAAGAAAAGUGGUUAGAGUAAAUCCGGAGAACCUUCUCCCAAAUAAUGUAUACACUGUAUAUUUUUAUUUAUUGUUGUGUGUAUAUAGUUGUUUAAAUAUAGUUCACUAUUGUUAAUAUUUGUGUCUAACAUUAUUUUAUUUA
This is a long non-coding RNA of Carassius auratus (goldfish), 1175 nucleotides long. RefSeq lists it as uncharacterized. The transcript has 3 exons. The record is from RefSeq and is a predicted model, not a curated record. Lineage: Eukaryota; Metazoa; Chordata; Actinopteri; Cypriniformes; Cyprinidae.